AAGUAUAGCUAAAGUUAUAGCAUUUCACUUACGUUGAAAAUAUUAGCCGGUUAGCGGCUUACUUUGAUA
RNAcentral lists this transfer RNA (69 nucleotides) under Jonas distinctus. RNAcentral describes it as "tRNA-Val". It matches the Rfam family "tRNA". Rfam says of the family: Transfer RNA (tRNA) molecules are approximately 80 nucleotides in length. Lineage: Eukaryota; Metazoa; Arthropoda; Malacostraca; Decapoda; Corystidae. The record is from RNAcentral.